This 250-nucleotide ribosomal RNA is filed under the name uncultured prokaryote. RNAcentral describes it as "partial 16S ribosomal RNA". It matches the Rfam family "Bacterial small subunit ribosomal RNA", at positions 524 to 773 of the family's 1533-position model. The record is from RNAcentral.
UACGUAGGUGGCGAGCGUUGUUCGGAUUUAUUGGGCGUAAAGGGUCCGCAGGGGGUUGAUUAAGUCUGACGUGAAAUCCCUGAGCUUAACUCAGGAACUGCGUUGGAGACUGGUUGACUAGAGUGUUGGAGAGGUGAUUGGAAUUCCAGGUGUAGCGGUGGAAUGCGUAGAUAUCUGGAAGAACAUCGAAAGCGAAGGCAGAUCACUGGACAACGACUGACCCUCAGGGACGAAAGCAUGGGGAGCAAAC